AGCGAACGUUAGCGGCGGGCCUAACACAUGCAAGUCGAACGCGAAAGGUCUUCGGACUGAGUAGAGUGGCGCACGGGUGAGUAACACGUAGGUAAUCUACCCUUUGGCGGGGGAUAACGUUCCGAAAGGAGCGCUAAUACCGCAUAAGACCACGGAGUCUCCGGACGCUGUGGGAAAAGGUGGCCUCUUCUUGAAAGCUACCACCGAAGGAUGAGCCUGCGUCCCAUCAGCUAGUUGGUAAGGUAAUGGCUUACCAAGGCGAAGACGGGUAGCUGGUUUGAGAGAAUGAUCAGCCACACUGGCACUGGAACACGGGCCAGACUCCUACGGGAGGCAGCAGUGAGGAAUAUUGGGCAAUGGGCGAAAGCCUGACCCAGCCACGCCGCGUGAGUGAUGAAGGCCCUCGGGUCGUAAAGCUCUGUGGAGAGGGACGAAACCCUGGUUUCAAAUAGGCUCCAGGCUUGACGGUACCUCUUUAGCAAGCACCGGCUAACUCUGUGCCAGCAGCCG
RNAcentral lists this ribosomal RNA (510 nucleotides) under uncultured bacterium. Its description in RNAcentral is "bacterial SSU rRNA". It matches the Rfam family "Bacterial small subunit ribosomal RNA", at positions 29 to 517 of the family's 1533-position model. The record is from RNAcentral.